This 323-nucleotide unclassified non-coding RNA is filed under the name soil metagenome. RNAcentral describes it as "partial contains 5.8S ribosomal RNA, internal transcribed spacer 2, and large subunit ribosomal RNA". The stretch from base 1 to 119 matches the Rfam family "5.8S ribosomal RNA", at positions 36 to 154 of the family's 154-position model. The record is from RNAcentral.
AUGAAGAACGUAGCGAAAUGCGAUAAGUAGUGUGAAUUGCAGAAUUCAGUGAAUCAUCGAAUCUUUGAACGCACAUUGCGCCCCUUGGUAUUCCAUGGGGCAUGCCUGUUCGAGCGUCAUUUGUACCUUCAAGCUUUGCUUGGUGUUGGGUGUUUGUCCCUCGGGACUCGCCUUAAAGUCAUUGGCAGCCAGUGUUUUGGUUUUGAAGCGCAGCACAAGUCGCGAUUCAAGGCUAUCCGCCCGCUUCCACAAGCCUUUUUCACUUUUGACCUCGGAUCAGGUAGGGAUACCCGCUGAACUUAAGCAUAUCAAUAAGCGGAGGA